AUUGAACGCUGGCGGCAGGCCUAACACAUGCAAGUCGAACGAGUGGCGGACGGGUGAGUAAUGUAUGGGAAACUGCCUGAUGGAGGGGGAUAACUACUGGAAACGGUAGCUAAUACCGCAUACCAUCGGAUGUGCCCAGAUGGGAUUAGCUAGUAGGUGGGGUAAAGGCUCACCUAGGCGACGCUACCUAGCUGGUCUGAGAGGAUGACCAGCCACACUGGGACGGAGACACGGCCCAGACUCCUACGGGAGGCAGCAGUGGGGAAUAUUGGACAAUGGGCGCAAGCCUGAUGCAGCAAUGCCGCGUGUAUGAAGAAGGCUUUCGGGUGGUAAAGUACUGUCAGCGGGGAGGCGUUACCUGCAGAAGAAGCACCGGCUAACUCCGUGCCAGCAGCCGCGGUAAUUC
RNAcentral lists this ribosomal RNA (406 nucleotides) under uncultured bacterium. RNAcentral describes it as "partial 16S ribosomal RNA". It matches the Rfam family "Bacterial small subunit ribosomal RNA", at positions 30 to 526 of the family's 1533-position model. The record is from RNAcentral.